GUUAUAUUUCUUGAUAUUAUACAUUUUUCAAGUAGAUUGAUUUUUUUUUUCUCUUUAUGUACUUAGUUGACAGACGAGGCUUGCUUCAUUUUGUCUAAAGAUUUUAAGAAUCCUCUAGUUUUCCCUGAGAAAGACUUGGAUAUAGC
This is a long non-coding RNA of Hibiscus syriacus, 146 nucleotides long. RefSeq lists it as uncharacterized. The record is from RefSeq and is a predicted model, not a curated record. The transcript has 4 exons. NCBI's taxonomy places the organism in Eukaryota, Viridiplantae, Streptophyta, Magnoliopsida, Malvales, Malvaceae.